RNAcentral lists this ribosomal RNA (253 nucleotides) under uncultured bacterium. RNAcentral's name for it is "partial 16S ribosomal RNA". It matches the Rfam family "Bacterial small subunit ribosomal RNA", at positions 524 to 776 of the family's 1533-position model. The record is from RNAcentral.
UACGAGGGGGGCAAGCGUUGUUCGGAAUUAUUGGGCGUAAAGGGCGCGUAGGCGGUGCGGCAAGUCACCUGUGAAAACUCUGGGCUCAACUCAGAGCCUGCAGGCGAAACUGCCGUGCUUGAGUGUGGGAGAGGUGCGUGGAAUUCCCGGUGUAGCGGUGAAAUGCGUAGAGAUGUGGAGGAACACCGAUGGCGAAGGCAGCCUUCUGGGCCAACAUUGACGCUCAUGCACGAAAGCGUGGGGAGCAAACAGG